CCUACGGGAGACAGCAGUGAGGAAUAUUGGUCAAUGGGCGUAAGCCUGAACCAGCCAAGUCGCGUGAGGGAUGAAGGUUCUAUGGAUCGUAAACCUCUUUUAUCAGGGAAUAAAGUGUGGGACGUGUCCUGGUUUGUAUGUACCUUAUGAAUAAGGAUCGGCGAACUCCGUGCCAGCAGCCGCGGUAAUACGGAGGAUCCGAGCGUUAUCCGGAUUUAUUGGGUUUAAAGGGUGCGUAGGCGGCCUUGUAAGGAAGCGGGGAAAGUCGGUGGCUCAACCAUAGAAUCGCCGUUGAAACUGGGGGGCUUGAGUAUGUGUGAGGUAGGCGGAAUGCGUGGUGUAGCGGUGAAAUGCUUAGAUAUCACGCAGAACCCCGAUUGCGAAGGCAGCCUGCCAAGCCAUGACUGACGCUGAUGCACGAAAGCGUGGGGAUCAAACAGGAUUAGAUACCCGAGUAGUC
This 460-nucleotide ribosomal RNA is filed under the name uncultured bacterium. Its description in RNAcentral is "partial 16S ribosomal RNA". It matches the Rfam family "Bacterial small subunit ribosomal RNA", at positions 338 to 795 of the family's 1533-position model. The record is from RNAcentral.